This 495-nucleotide ribosomal RNA is filed under the name uncultured euryarchaeote. RNAcentral describes it as "bacterial SSU rRNA". It matches the Rfam family "Archaeal small subunit ribosomal RNA", at positions 345 to 848 of the family's 1478-position model. Lineage: Archaea; Methanobacteriati; Methanobacteriota. The record is from RNAcentral.
AACCUCCGCAAUACACGAAAGUGUGACGGGGUUACCCAAAGUGUUCUAUUUAGAACUGUGGUAGGUGAGUAAUGUCCCCUACUAGAAAGGAGAGGGCAAGGCUGGUGCUAGCCGCCGCGGUAAAACCAGCUCUUCAAGUGGUCGGGAUAAUUAUUGGGCUUAAAGUGUCCGUAGCCGGUUUAGUAAGUUCCUGGUAAAAUCGGGUAGCUUAACUAUCUAUAUGCUAGGAAUACUGCUAUACUAGAGGGCGGGAGAGGUCUGAGGUACUACAGGGGUAGGGGUGAAAUCUUAUAAUCCUUGUAGGACCACCAGUGGCGAAGGCGUCAGACUGGAACGCGCCUGACGGUGAGGGACGAAAGCCAGGGGAGCGAACCGGAUUAGAUACCCGGGUAGUCCUGGCCGUAAACGAUGCAUACUAGGUGAUGGCACGGCCAUGAGCCGUGUCAGUGCCGUAGGGAAACCGUUAAGUGUGCCGCCUGGAAGUACGUCGCAAGC